CAUAGUUUUUAAAGUGAACAUACCAUUUGUGAUGCGAAGAUUGAUGGCAAAAAACGGGGAUUGUGCCAUACUAUACGGCUUAAAUACCUCUUGAAUAACUCUUGCUAUUUUUGGCAAAUUUACAAGCCUCCGGUUAAUAAACAACAUUUGCCUCUCAUUCGACGCACGAGUUGAUCCAACGUGCGGACGUGAUAUGUAACCUUCUAUGAUUCCAUCAUUCCAAGGAAUAAGUGAUGAAGAUACUUUAGUACCAAAUACAUUCAUGAUGUUCAACUUCAUAUCCUUAUUAGAAUUUGUUGAAAGCUGAAGCAACUUGCCAGAAUUCUUAGUUUGAUGAUAUACCAUGAAGCGCUUAUUUGUAGAAAUAGUGGCAUAAGCCUGCAACAAGGAGAUUGCCUUCGAAAAUUCCCGUUUAUAGUUUUUCUCCAAAAGUUUUCGACGAACAGGAAGUGUACAAAACAAAUCAUUAACCAUGACAGAGGUACCUCU
Non-coding RNA from Schizosaccharomyces pombe (fission yeast), 489 nucleotides. The record is from the annotation of a GenBank genome assembly. NCBI's taxonomy places the organism in Eukaryota, Fungi, Ascomycota, Schizosaccharomycetes, Schizosaccharomycetales, Schizosaccharomycetaceae.